Molecule: long non-coding RNA, 1245 nt
Filed under: Monodelphis domestica (gray short-tailed opossum)
Lineage: Eukaryota; Metazoa; Chordata; Mammalia; Didelphimorphia; Didelphidae
Description: lncRNA (ENSMODG00000051008.1)
Source: RNAcentral
UGACCCAUUUUAGUUUCUGUGUGUAUAUGUGUGUGUGUAUGUGUGUGUGCACAUACAUAUAGGAAUACAAACAUACCAAAGAGGUCAAAGACAAAAAGAAAAAUCUUAUACAUGCCAAAAUGUUCAUAGCGGUAUUUUUUGUGGUGGCUCUGGGCAAGUCACUUAACCCUGUUCACCUAAGUUCCUCCUCUGAAAAACGAGUUGGGAAGGAAAUAGUAAACCAUUCUGGCAUCUUUUCCAAGAAAACCCCAAAAUGGAAUCACAAACAGUCAGAGACCACUGAAAAGACAACAAAUUUUGUUGUUGUUGUUGUGGAAAAGAUUUGAAAACAAAGUAAGCGCUCAAAUGAUUAUGACUGAUUAAACAAAUUGGGUAGGAUUCAUCUAAGGAAAGAGUAGUGAAACAAAAAGUGGAAAUUCCAGGAAGAAGUUGAUGCAUUUUCAAUGUUAAUAUGACUGAAAGAAUAGAAAAGAAUUGUAGUAAUCAGAACAGUGGAGUAUAUGGCUUUGAUCAAAGUGAAAAGUAGUUGCUAGAAAGCAAGUCAAUAUUAACUAAAUGCCUAAAAAUCACAUGGUACAAUGCUAGGCAUCAGGGAUUUUUAUUAUUGUUGUUCAGUCAUUUUGGUUGAAUUCCACUCUUCAUGACCCUAUUUGGGGAUUUUUUGGCAGAGAUUUUAGACUGGUUUGCCUUUUCUUUCCAACUCAUUUUACAAAUGAGAAAACUGAGACAAACAGGGUUAAGUGGCUUGCCCAAGGUCAUACAACUAGUAAGUGUCUAAAGUUAGAUCUGACCUCAGGAAAAAGAAAUCUUCCUGACUUCAGGCUCAGUACUCUAUAGACAGCAUCUCCUUACUCCCUUUAGUGGGAAAGCAAGAAAGAAAGCAAGACAGCAAGAAAGAAAGCAAGACAGCAAGAAAGAAAGAAAGAAAGAAAGAAAGAAAGAAAGAAAGAAAGAAAGAAAGCAAGACAGCAAGAAAGAAAGCAAGACAGCAAGAAAGAAAGAAAGAAAGAAAGAAAGAAAGAAAGAAAGAAAGAAAGAAAGAAAGAAAGAAAGAAAGAAAGAAAGAAAGAAAGAAAGAAAGAAAGAAAGAAAGAAAGAAAGAAAGAAAGAAAGAAAGAAAGAAAGAAAGAAAGAAAGAAAGAAAGAAAGAAAAAGAAAGAAAGAAAGGAAGGAAGGAAGGAAGGAAGGAAGGAAGGAAGGAAGGAAGGAAGGAAGGAAGGAAGGAAGGAAGGGUGUGACCCUGGG